GUAGGGUGCGAGCGUUAAUCGGAAUUACUGGGCGUAAAGCGUGCGCAGGCGGUUGUGCAAGACAGAUGUGAAAUCCCCCGGGGCUCAACCUGGGAAUUGCAUUUGUGACUGUACGGCUAGAGUGUGUCAGAGGGGGGGUAGAAUUCCACGUGUAGCAGUGAAAUGCGUAGAGAUGUGGAGGAAUACCGAUGGCGAAGGCAGCCCCCUGGGAUAACACUGACGCUCAUGCACGGAAAGCGUGGGGAGCAAACAGGAUUAGAUACCCUGGUAGUCCCACGCCCUAAACGAUGUCAACUAGUUGUCGGGUCUUAAUUGACUUGGUAACGCAGCUAACGCGUGAAGUUGACCCGCCUGGGGAGUACGGUCGCAAGAUUA
RNAcentral lists this ribosomal RNA (375 nucleotides) under uncultured organism. RNAcentral describes it as "partial 16S ribosomal RNA". It matches the Rfam family "Bacterial small subunit ribosomal RNA", at positions 527 to 896 of the family's 1533-position model. The record is from RNAcentral.